UGGUAAAGAAAGGAGUUAAACCAAUGUGAGUAGGACUACAGACUACCGCUUACCGUUCAGCCACUUUACCU
Molecule: transfer RNA, 71 nt
Filed under: Anolis parvicirculatus (Berriozabal anole)
Lineage: Eukaryota; Metazoa; Chordata; Lepidosauria; Squamata; Anolidae
Description: tRNA-Tyr
Source: RNAcentral